RNAcentral lists this ribosomal RNA (433 nucleotides) under uncultured bacterium. RNAcentral's name for it is "partial 16S ribosomal RNA". It matches the Rfam family "Bacterial small subunit ribosomal RNA", at positions 29 to 507 of the family's 1533-position model. The record is from RNAcentral.
AACGAACGCUGGCGGCAUGCCUAACACAUGCAAGUCGAACGAGACCUUCGGGUCUAGUGGCGCACGGGUGCGUAACGCGGGGGAAUCUGCCCUUGGGUUCGGAAUAACAGUUGGAGACGUCUGCUAAUACAGGUUGGUGACGUAAGUCCAAAGAUUUAUCGCCCAGGGGUGAGCCCGGGUAGGAUUAGUUGGUUGGUGGGGUACAGGCCUACCAAGGAGACGAUCCUUAGCUGGUCUGUGAGGAUGGUCAGCCACACUGGGACUGAGACACGGGCCAGACUCCUACGGGAGGCAGCAGUGGGGAGUAUUGGACAAUGGGCGAAAGCCUAAUCCAGCAAUGCCGCGUGAGUGAUGAAGGCCUUAGGGUUGUAAAGCUCUUUUACCCGGGAUGAUAAUGACAGUACCGGGAGAAUAAGCCCCGGCUAACUCCGUG